AUUGAACGCUGGCGGCAGGCCUAACACAUGCAAGUCGAACGAGACGGGAUGGAAGGAGCCUUCGGGUGACGGAAAUCCUAGAAAGUGGCGAACGGGUGAGUAACGCGUGGGUAACCUGCCCUGUGGAAAGGAAUAGCCUCGGGAAACUGGGAGUAAUGCCUUAUAAUAUAUCGAAGUCGCAUGGCUUUGAUAUAAAACGCUCCGGUGCCAUAGGAUGGACCCGCGUCCCAUUAGCUAGUUGGUGAGAUAACAGCCCACCAAGGCGACGAUGGGUAACCGGUCUGAGAGGGCGAACGGUCACACUGGAACUGAGACACGGUCCAGACUCCUACGGGAGGCAGCAGUGGGGAAUAUUGCGCAAUGGGGCAACCCUGACGCAGCAAUACCGCGUGAGUGAAGAAGGUUUUCGGAUCGUAAAGCUCUGUUAUUGGGGAAGAAAAAAGACGGUACCCAAGAAGAAAGUCCCGGCUAACUACGUGCCAGCCGCCGCGGUAA
RNAcentral lists this ribosomal RNA (495 nucleotides) under uncultured bacterium. Its description in RNAcentral is "partial 16S ribosomal RNA". It matches the Rfam family "Bacterial small subunit ribosomal RNA", at positions 30 to 523 of the family's 1533-position model. The record is from RNAcentral.